Molecule: small RNA, 82 nt
Filed under: Flavobacterium sp. 103
Lineage: Bacteria; Pseudomonadati; Bacteroidota; Flavobacteriia; Flavobacteriales; Flavobacteriaceae
Description: Flavo-1 RNA
Rfam family: Flavo-1 RNA
Source: RNAcentral
UUUUAGCCCCGAUAGAAACGAAAAUCCUUGUGGGGGCUAGCAUUUUGCCCCCAUAAGAUUAUAGUGGAUAGCGGGAGGGAUG